RNAcentral lists this non-coding RNA (23 nucleotides) under Mus musculus (house mouse). Lineage: Eukaryota; Metazoa; Chordata; Mammalia; Rodentia; Muridae. The record is from RNAcentral.
UGGAAUAAGGAGGAGAGGGGAUC